RNAcentral lists this ribosomal RNA (513 nucleotides) under uncultured bacterium. RNAcentral's name for it is "bacterial SSU rRNA". It matches the Rfam family "Bacterial small subunit ribosomal RNA", at positions 990 to 1501 of the family's 1533-position model. The record is from RNAcentral.
AAGUAGAAUCCUGAAAGGGUCACGACUCGGUAUCCAGUCCGAAGCUAUCACAGUGUUGCAUGGCUGUCGUCAGCUCGUGUCGUGAGACGUUGGGUUAAGUCCCCUAACGAGCGAAACCCUUGUCUUUAGUUGCUAACGGGUAAUGCUGAGCACUUUAGAGAGACUGCCGUCGUUAAGACGAGAAHHGACGACGUCAAGUCAUCAUGCCCUUAUGUCCCGGGCUGCACACGUGCUACAAUGGUCGGUACAAAGGGAUGCUAAGUCGCGAGAUGGUGCGAAACCUAUAAAGCCGAUCUCAGUUCAGAUUGGAGGCUGAAACUCGCCUCCAUGAAGUUGGAAUCGCUAGUAAUCGCGGAUCACGUACGCCGCGGUGAAUAUGUUCCCGAGCCUUGUAUCACACCGCCCGUCAAGCCACCCAAGCAAGAUGCACCCAAAAUCGCCUGCCUAACCCGUAAGGGAGGGAAGUGCCUAAGGUGUGUUUUGUGAGGAGGACUAAGUCGUAACAAGGUAACC